GUGUAUUGAGAAUGAGCUCCGCAGUUUGCGCAUCAAACAAACUGUGAAUAAGAGGCGCCUUCCACAUUUUAACAUCUUGCUCGAUAAAGUCACAUAAUUUCACCUGCAUCAAAGGCUCAAAAAUAGGAUUAGUUGUGGAUAAAGACAAACCAUCCUUGAGCCAAGGGGCUCCCAAGAAAGGUAUGUUGACCCCUGAACCGAUCCGCCAUCG
RNAcentral lists this long non-coding RNA (211 nucleotides) under Medicago truncatula (barrel medic). Its description in RNAcentral is "long non-coding RNA (MTRU_LNC008629)". Lineage: Eukaryota; Viridiplantae; Streptophyta; Magnoliopsida; Fabales; Fabaceae. The record is from RNAcentral.